Molecule: long non-coding RNA, 694 nt
Filed under: Panax ginseng (ginseng)
Lineage: Eukaryota; Viridiplantae; Streptophyta; Magnoliopsida; Apiales; Araliaceae
Description: long non-coding RNA (PGIN_LNC010094)
Source: RNAcentral
UUCUUCCUUGUCAUCGUCACCAUCUAAAGAGUCUAGAAGAGAUGGAUCUACCUUGGCCCAAGCUUUUUUUUGCCUUUACUUCGGCAGAUUUCAUAUCCUUUCGCAUACAUAUGGACGAUCUUAUUGUUCAGCUCGGCGGAUUUUCUGUAUUCUGCCUGGAUAUCCCUACGAAAGUCUUCGGUCAGUGGCGGACUCAAAUUCUUAAGGGCCCGAAGCUCUUUGAGCUCUUCUUCGAGCUUCUGACGAUGUACCAGAUGCUUUGAUCCUUUAGCUUGACAGAUCAAUAUUUAUAUCAGUGAUGACUUGGUGAGUGGCCCGGGACGUUUUCAAAUCUUCUUUGGUUUGGGCAAGGUCUUUCUGAAGGCACUCAUUAUCGUGAAAAGCAACUUUGAGACUACUUCUAUCUUUCGUCAAAGCAGACUUAAGCAGGGUAUUCUCUCUUCGAGCAGCUUUCUCUUCGGCUUCGGCCUCUUGGUAUUUGGGGCGGAGGCAUCCGAAGACAGUGCUUGCCUGCGGAUGAUCAGUGUUAGUCUAUCAGUUCAAAAUUAAUGGGCUGAGAUGUAAAUGGAUAAGUUAAGCUUACUCUAGCUUGGUACUUCAGUCCCUCGUUGAUCAGGUCCAUGAUAGAGCUAUUGCUGAACUGGUGGUUGUCGGUAUUAUGGACGAAGGAGUUGUAGAGCUCAAAUGGGAAGUU